Long non-coding RNA from Mustela erminea (ermine), 391 nucleotides. RefSeq lists it as uncharacterized. The record is from RefSeq and is a predicted model, not a curated record. The transcript has 3 exons. NCBI's taxonomy places the organism in Eukaryota, Metazoa, Chordata, Mammalia, Carnivora, Mustelidae.
CAGCCGAUCCGCAUGUACACAGGUGGUGUUCCCAGGCACAGAGGACGCAAACGGGCUUCGCAGCUCAUUAAACAGCGAGUGGGCCCCGGGAGACAGAAUACUGAAAGAUUCUAUCAACCCUUCUAGAGAAAUGCUUUCAGGAAUUUGUGUUUGCUCUACAAGAUUAUUGAUCUCAUACAUGUUAUUGAGAGGCUGGGUUGUUUUCAUAUACUUCAAACACAACUACAUACCUCAACAGACGGAAUGCAGAAGCAGACGAGAACCUAGCUGUCUUCUACCAAGCCAGACAUUUGAGAUUUGCAAAAAUGUAAAUGAAGUCCCUCCUCUCACUACAUAUCCUUUUGGAAACUGUAACUUCUUUCAUAAAAAUAUGUUAUUUCUAUCAAUAUGU